CCUACGGGUGGCAGCAGUGGGGAAUAUUGCACAAUGGGGGAAACCCUGAUGCAGCGACGCCGCGUGAGUGAAGAAGUAAUUCGUUACGUAAAGCUCUAUCAGCAGGGAAGAAAAUGACGGUACCUGAGUAAGAAGCCACGGCUAACUACGUGCCAGCAGCCGCGGUAAUACGUAGGGGGCAAGCGUUAUCCGGAUUUACUGGGUGGAAAGGGAGCGUAGACGGUGCGCCAAGUCUGGAGUGAAAUGCCGCGGCUUAACUUCGGAACUGCUUUGGAUACUGGCGAACUAGAGUGCGGUAGGGGUAAGCGGAAUUCCUAGUGUAGCGGUGAAAUGCGUAGAUAUUAGGAGGAACACCGGUGGCGAAGGCGGCUUACUGGACCGUAACUGACGUUGAGGCUCGAAAGCGUGGGGAGCAAACAGGAUUAGAUACCCUAGUAGUC
Molecule: ribosomal RNA, 440 nt
Filed under: uncultured bacterium
Lineage: Bacteria
Description: partial 16S ribosomal RNA
Rfam family: Bacterial small subunit ribosomal RNA
Source: RNAcentral